RNAcentral lists this ribosomal RNA (253 nucleotides) under uncultured prokaryote. RNAcentral describes it as "partial 16S ribosomal RNA". It matches the Rfam family "Bacterial small subunit ribosomal RNA", at positions 525 to 777 of the family's 1533-position model. The record is from RNAcentral.
ACGAAGGGGGCUAGCGUUGUUCGGAAUUACUGGGCGUAAAGCGCACGUAGGCGGACUGAUAAGUCAGGGGUGAAAUCCCGGGGCUCAACCCCGGAACUGCCUUUGAUACUGUCAGUCUAGAGUUCGAGAGAGGUGAGUGGAAUUCCGAGUGUAGAGGUGAAAUUCGUAGAUAUUAGGAAGAACACCGGCGGCGAAGGCGGCCCACUGGAUCGGUACUGACGCUGAGGUGCGAAAGCGUGGGGAGCAAACAGGA